This 153-nucleotide ribosomal RNA is filed under the name Neourostylopsis flavicana. RNAcentral describes it as "5.8S ribosomal RNA". The stretch from base 35 to 153 matches the Rfam family "5.8S ribosomal RNA", at positions 1 to 121 of the family's 154-position model. Rfam says of the family: 5.8S ribosomal RNA (5.8S rRNA) is a component of the large subunit of the eukaryotic ribosome. It is transcribed by RNA polymerase I as part of the 45S precursor that also contains 18S and 28S rRNA. Functionally, it is thought that 5.8S rRNA may be involved in ribosome translocation. Lineage: Eukaryota; Ciliophora; Spirotrichea; Urostylida; Holostichidae. The record is from RNAcentral.
WAAAGGACUUUAACUAAGCCCUAUUCCAAAACCAAAUUUUCAACGAUGGAUAUCUUGGUUCCCAUAACGAUGAAGAACGCAGCGAAGUGCGAUAAGCAGUGCGAAUUGCAGAACCGUGAGUCAUCAGAUUUUUGAACGCAAAUGGCGCCAGUU